Non-coding RNA from Symphalangus syndactylus (siamang), 6039 nucleotides. The record is from the annotation of a RefSeq genome assembly. NCBI's taxonomy places the organism in Eukaryota, Metazoa, Chordata, Mammalia, Primates, Hylobatidae.
AGUGGAUCAUCCUGCACUGUGCACUGUGACUGGCAGGGGGCGCCGAAACCGCCUUUUCUGCCCCACAUGGUGCGCAUGCGUGUUCUCACCGCAGAGGCUUCAUGGCGUGCGUGGUGUAAACGGCUGCGGUUCCUUCGGGACCCGCUUGAGGGGGCACCGCGGCGGCUUGGGGAUGACUUGGAGACCCCCCCCCCGGGGAGGAAACAGCUCCUGUCUGUGGCCGUGGCUGUUUAGGUGGGAGCUGCCUGCAGCUCAGAUUCUCCAGGGCACUUCUUUCUACACGGUCACUCUCACCCAAGCUGGAGCACAGUGGCAUAUCACAUGACCAUGCAGAUUGGAAUACUGGCUACCUACAGCUUGCAACAAAAUUUGAUAUCAGGAAUUAGUGUUGCUCUUCGCCAUGCUGGAGUGCAGUGGUGCGAUCUUGGCUCACUGCAACCUCCACCUCCGGGGUUCAAGCGAUCCUCCUGAGUAGCUGGGACUACAGACGCGUACCAACAUGCCUGGCUAAUAUUUUUUUUUUUUUUUGUAUUUUAGUAGAGACAGGGUUUCAUCAUGUUGGGCAGGAUGGUCUCGAUCUCCUGACCUCGUGAUCCACCCGCCUUGGGCUCCAAAAGUGCUGGGAUUACAGGCAUGAGCCACCACGCCUGCCCACUUUUUUUUUUUCUCUUUUAGACAGAGUCUCCCUCUGUCGCUAGGCUAGAGUGCAGUGGCGUGAUAUCAGCUCACUGCCACCUCCGCCUCCUGGGUUCAAGCAAUUCUCUGGCAUCAGCGUGUUGAGUAGCUGGGAUUACAGGCAUGCAGAACCAUGCCUGGCUAAUUUUUGUAUUUUUACUAGAGAUUGGGUUUCACCAUGUUGGCCAGGCUGGUCUCGAACUCCUGACCUUGUGAGCCACCAUGUCUGGUCUAGGGUGCGUAGGAUGCCUUCUCUUUGGGUUCAUUUAUUCUGUCCUGUGCAGAGGCUCUAAUGUUGUACUUAGUCUCUCAGGUUUAUAUUUGCAUUUGUUGGCAGUGAUUUACGUGUCCCGUACAAAAAAAGAGAUUGUUAAGCCAUUUUAUUGUCUACAAGUAUUUAUCCCCUCAUUUUUCCUUCUCUUUUUCUUUUUUCUUUUUGCAACCUAUGUGCACAGGGCCACGUUUCCCCCAAAUAUACGCUAAUCCCAUGUUUUCUCCUUGGAGUGUUUUGCUUUCAGGAUUUAAUUUAACUGUUUGAUUUAUUUUUCAUAGAUUUUUGUGUAUUGGGCAGCAUAGGGGUGCUAUUUCAAUCUUGUGCACAUGACUACCCAGUUUUCUCAACUGUUGUGCCUUGGUGUGCUUUUGCAAAAUGUGUGCCCUAAAUAUAAUUUUGGGUUGAUUACUUGGCUCCCUCAUUUUGUGCAUUCGGUUGUCUUUCUAUAUUUAUGCCAGUCAGUGAUUGCCUGGAUGACUGUAGGUUUUGUUGUAUCUAUCAUCCAUGUAUGUAUAUAUGUAUCUAUCUAUAAUAUAUUCUAAUCCUAUUUUUUGUUUUUUGCUUUUUUUGAGACAUGUUAUUGCUCUGUCACCCAGGCUGGAGUUCAGCGCUGCGAUCUUGGCUCAUUGCAGCCUUGACCUCCCGGGCUCAAGUCCUCCCUCCUCAACCUCCCAAGUAGCUGGGACUACAGGUGGGCACCACCAUGCCCCACCAAUUUUUUUGUACUUUUUGUAGAGGUAGGUUUUGCCAUGUUGCCCAGACUUCUCUCGAACUCCCAGGCUCAAGUGGUCUGCCUGGCCUCCCAAAUUGCCGUGAGUACUUGUGGGAGCCACUGUGCCCGGGGAAACCCUGUUUUAAAAUAUAUAUAUAAUUGACUUAUUUUGAUUAAAUUGCAGGUUAGUUACAUGUGAACAUUUGAUAACACCGAGGCUUGUGGCCACUGAUCCCGUCACUGACAGGCAGUGAGCAAAGUGCCUGUCAGGUGGUUCUUCCGCCCACACCCCCUUUCUGCCUCCUUUUUUCAUCUGAUAGUGCCCAGUGUCUAUUGUUUCCAUAUUUAUGUUUGAAUGUAUUCACUGUUCAGCUCCCACUCAUAAGUGAGAACAUGGAGUAUUUGGUUUUCUGUUGUUGCCUUGGUUUGCUAAACAUGAGAAUCCCCAGGUCUAUCCAUGCUGCUUAGGACAUGAUUGUGUGUUUUUCUUAUGGCUGCGUAGUAUUUUGUGGUGUGUAUGCCCCACAUUAAAAAAAAAAAGUCGAAUCCACUGUUGCUGGUCACCUAGGAUGCUUCCACGUCUUUGUUCUUGUGAGUGGCACAGCCAUGAAUGCACGAGAGCAUGUGUCUUUUUGAUAGAAGGAUUUUUGUCUUUAGGGUAGGUACCAAGUAGUGGGAUUGCUGGGUCUGAUGGUAGUUCUGUUUUAAGUUCUUUGAGAGUCUCUAAACUGCUUUGCACAGUGUGAACGUUUUCACGUUGACCAAGAAUGUAGCAGCAUUCCCUUUCCUUUGCUUCUCGCCAGCAUGUUGUUUUGACUUUGGAAAAAUGGCCAUUCUUACCAGCAUGAGAUGGUAUCUCAUUGUGUUUGUGAGUUGCAUUUCACUGAUGAUUAGUGAGGUUGUGCAUUUUUUCAUGUCCGUUGAUUACUUGAAUGUCUUUUUUUUUUUUAUUUUUUUUAUUUUAUGAGACAGUGUUUCUCUUUGUUGCCCAGACUGGAGUGCAGUGGCGCAAUCUUGGCUCACUGCAACCUCCACCUCCUGGGUUCAGGCGAUUCUCCUGCGUUUAAAUGGUACAAACUUUUCACUUGGGAUGAUGAGAAAGUUAUGGAAAUUGAUAAUGGUAAUGACUCUAUUGCUUUUUUGUAGGAGGUGGUGUCUUGCUCUGUUGCCCAAGCUGGAAUGCAGUGGUGCAAUGAUAGCUCACGGCAUCCUUGAACUCCUGGGUCUAGGCAAGCCUCCUGCCUGAGACUCCUGAGUAGCUGGGACUACAGGUGCAAGCCGCCAUGCCAGGCAAUUCCAUCACAUUGUGAAUGUACUUGACACCACUGGAUUUUACAGUUAAAAGUGAUUUAAAUGGCAAAUUUUACGUUGUGUAUAUUUUAUGACAAUUAAAAAUAUACUUGUUCAAAUGUCAAAAUAUAUACAAUGUUAUAUUCAUAAAAUUUUCCUUUUCACACUUAUGUAUUUAUCCUAUUCUAACUCAUUCUCAUCAAUUAAAAAAGCACUGUAAUUACUGGUCAUUAUGUACUAAACUUUCUAUAAUUCACGUUGAAGCCUUAACCCCCAAUGUUACUGUAUUUGGAGACAGAGCAUUACAGAGGGUAAUUAAGAUGAAAUGAGAUCAUAACGAUCUCAUAAGAGGAGAUUAGAAAAUGGACAACAUAAAAUGAGAUGAGGACAGAGUGAGAAGGUGGUCAUCUACAAGUGUGGACACAUCUUCAGUUUGUGUGGAGUAACAGUUGAAGGGCUCGCCCAUCCUAUAAUGAAAGUUGGAACAGGUGCCUUGGGCGGGCUCCAGGAUUAACUGAUGUAGUCACUGCAUCCCACUGUGGGACCCCAGAGGGAAAGAAGCACUGUGGAGAUUCCUGAGACAUUAGAAACGGAGCCCGAGAAGUUUCCAGGACACCUACAUGGGCUCCAGGUGAAGCAGGGGCCCAGGGAGACCUUGUCUGAGCCCUGAGUGUGACGCAGCGCCUGGCCACUAGGGGGAGGCAAACUCUGUGAAUCCUGUGGGACCUGAGCUCUUGCUCUGAGCCCUGCCCUUGCUAAUCACUAGCCCUGGGAGGGAGCAGAUUUGCAUGGAAUGUGAUGCCCCUGCCCAGUCCUUCACUGAGGGGAUAAGAGGCUUUGGGGCCUCAGGCUCAGCUGAGAGACUGAAGAACCCAGCUUUGCAGCAGCUCCGCCAUGGCCUGGGCUCCUCUGCUCCUCACCCUCCUCAGUCUCCUCACAGGGUCCCUCUCCCAGCCUGUGCUGACUCAGCCACCCUCGGCAUCGGCCUCCCUGGGAGCAUCGGUCACACUCGCCUGCACCCUGAGCAGUGGCUACAGCAAUUAUAAGGUGGACUGGCACCAGCAGAGACCAGGGAAGGGCCCUCGGUUUGUGAUGCGAGUGGGUACUGGUGGGAUUGUGGGAUCCAAGGGGGAUGGCAUCCCUGAUCGCUUCUCAGGCUCGGGCUCGGGCCUGAAUCGGUACCUGACCAUCAAGAACAUCCAGGAAGAGGAUGAGAGUGACUACCACUGUGGGGCAGACCAUGGCAGUGGGAGCAACUUCGUGUAACCCACAGUGACACAGGCAGAGGGGAGGUGAGACAAAAACCUCCCAGCUGAUCUGCUCUGUCCACACUUCCUUCCCACUGGCCUGACUCACAGGUCAGAGGCCUGUCUCCUAACUCCGUAUUUAAAGUUUUCACCUUCCUAGACAUUUUGGAGUUCUAAUUCACAGCAAAUGUUCCCUGCGUGUAAAUAUUUUCUCAAGAGCUUUUAAACAUUGAAGUUUGCACACCUACAUUUGUGGUUUUUGCCGCUCACCUGUCCUCUGAUGGGAUUUAAGUUUCCAGGUUGUAGAGCUGCUCACAGGUGCAUUUAUAGGGAAAUCACUGUCACCAGCUCCCACUACCUUUGCCCAUAUUCAACAUUUGUGAGCUGCCUAUACGGUGAUGGGAACUGACAAUUUCCCUGGAGACAUAAGGCCUUCACCCUGACUCACAGGGUCACAUAAUCGACGUGGACUUCAGCCAUCUCCAAUCACCUCCAUGUGCACAGAGCUCUCAUGGUGCAUGUGCUUGGCUGUCCUAGAAAGAGAGAAUUGACACACACCGAAGAUAGGAGAAUGUGAGCCUGCUCUGUAUCUGAGAUUCUGGGAGAGGCCCCCACUGCCUUCACAGAAUAAAUUCCUUCACAUGCAGGGAGAGAGCUCUGGUGGAAUCACUCUGCAAUGCCUUCUGAUGACAAAUACCUGGAUUGAGGUCAAAUUUCACGGGUUAAUAACCCUUUUCAAGACUACCUCCACUACAGACUCCAGUUCCCAGGCAUUAAGACUGAGGACCCUUGUAGACAACCAAGAUGGGGCUGUGACCAGCAGGAGCAAUGGGUAACUGUCCCAGGCCCUGCCUUGGGGCUGCUCACAGCUGGGUGAGCCCCACUGGCCACAGGCUGGCAGAGGCUGAGCUGCUCCCUGUGCUCACUGAUGAGACUCAGCAGCCUAGUCCUCUCAGGGUCCAGCAAAGCCUCUUGGGCAGGGUCCUGUGCCUGUUCCCAACAGCUGCUCCCUCGAGGACCCUCCUGGGCCCACACUCAGAGCAGCUCCUUCCUCGACCUCCUCUGUCCUCACAUCCCCUCUUGGGUUCCUGAAUCAGUGAUCAGGUAGGGUCUCAUCUAGCCAGAAGGGAGGGAGUGGAUUUGCAUGAACAGCUUCUUAUUUUCCCUGGGGGAAGAAGGAAAAAUAGUCAAGCCUGGGGAAGCCCAGCCCAACUGUGAGGUCCAGAGGCUGUGUCCACCAUGGCUUGUUGCCUGAACUCCUCUCAUACCCAAUCCUUGGUCUAUGUUUAUAGACUCAAUGAAAAUACCUCCCUUUCUACUGGCCUCUUAAUGCUAACAGAAUCAUUUUGUCCUCUAAGCACAAACAGCCUUUCGGGUUGCUGGGUGGGAUAACAACUAGAGCAGAAGUCCAGCAUGCGCGGCCCCCUUCCUGGCCCAUACAUGUCCCUGCUCUUGGCCCAGUCUUUGCUGGUUACUCCCUGAACUCUGAAACUUCAGGGAAGUUGCGUUUCUCUUUCUCUUGAGGUUGUACUCUUGAGGAGCUCCUGAAUUUCCAGGUAUAGGGUGACCCCUCCUCAUUAAGGACAUGGCUGUCAGACUCAUCCCUGGUUUACUUCCUCAGGUUUAGGUCUGUGAGUUCUAAACAGUUUCCCUAUGUUUCUUUGGUUGAUAUUUUGGUUGAUAUUUCCCUUUGUUUCUUUAGGUUGAUAUUACGUUGGGUAAUUACGUUGGUUGAUUACAUUGGGUAAAUGUAUUCUUGUAGAUAUAAACAUUAUAAACUCUUCCCCCUUAAGCUCUUAAUAAAUAAACUUGUUUGGGUGCCAAUGUACCAAUGUAGGUAA